Molecule: ribosomal RNA, 254 nt
Filed under: uncultured bacterium
Lineage: Bacteria
Description: partial 16S ribosomal RNA
Rfam family: Bacterial small subunit ribosomal RNA
Source: RNAcentral
GACGAACCGUGCGAACGUUAUUCGGAAUCACUGGGCUUAAAGCGCGUGUAGGCGGGCCGCCGCGUCGGUCGCUGAAAGCCCCCGGCUCAACCGGGGAACGGGCACCGAUACGGGCGGCCUGGAGGGGAGUAGGGGGACCUGGAACUUCCGGUGGAGCGGUGAAAUGCGUUGAGAUCGGAAGGAACGCCCGUGGCGAAAGCGGCACUCUGGGCCGGUACUGACGCUGAGGAGCGAAAGCGUGGGGAGCAAACAGG